GAAAACAUUGAUGAGAGGCUGCCAGCAUUACCCAUUCAAGAACCCGGAGCUUUUCUUGGUGACAAAUGACGUGGUGUUAGUUUGUGAAUCGAGCGUGGGCAGCUGCUGAGCUGUUUUGGCGCAGAGCUCCCCUCCGAGGUAACACCUCUCCCCUGCGUGGGGCCAGGAGCUGAGUGCUCUGCAUCAUCUGCCCGUGGCUGAUGGGAACCCACAGCCUCUUCCUGCCCUCCUUUGCCAUCACAAUGGGCUCCUUUAGACCUCCCUUUGUUUCUGCAUCAGAGUAAUACCUUGUAGAUCAUGCAGGGAGUUAUAUUUUGGCUGAAUCCUGCAAGAUGGGAGUGCUGUGGGUCUCACUUUGCUAGUGGGGAAUGAGAGUUUCCAGUAAGGACUUGUUUGCAGCUCCCGUUUCCUUAGAGGCUCUAGGUGUUGCUACCUGCUCUGAGGCUUCACAGGAAGCCUUUGGUGGAGUAUAAGAUCAGAUUCAGCUCCAAGCUGUUCCCUGUUUGCUUCUCCUAUAUCAGACAAACUUUUCAGUGAACUUCACUGCAAGGUGGGGCAGCAGAAUGGCCUCAUCUGCUGCUGGGGGGGGCAGAUGUUGCUGGUGGCACAGGGUUUGCCGAGUCCCUAACAGACUGUUUCUUAAUUUGGAUAGGGGCAGGCAAUCAUCACUGGGAUCCAGAGGAGGAGGAGGAAGCAAGUGAAUCACUGCCCAAGUGUGUUACCCCCAUCCAGAUGUCCCUAAGGGCAUAGAAUCAUAGAAUGGCUUGGGUUGGCAGGGACCUUAAUCUAGUUUCAACCCCUCUGCUAUGGUUAGGGACACCUUCCACUAUCCCAGGUUGUUCCAAGCCCCAUCCAACCUGGCCCUGAACACUUCCAGGGUUGGGGCAGCCACAGCUUCUCUGGGCAACCUGUGCCAGGGCCUCACCACCCUCGCAGGGAAGAAUUUAUUCUCAAUAUGCAAUCUAAACCUGCCCUCUGUCAGUUUGAAAACAUUUCCCCGUGUUUUAUCACUACCUCCCCUUGCUCACAGUCCCUCUCUGGCUCUCUUGACUCUCUUUUGGUACUGGGGGCAGGAGCAGUUGGUCCAUACCCCGGGCUCAUGGCAGAGCAUUUGAUGCAAGCAAAGGUCUCUCUGCUGCCCCAUUGCCAUGAGCAGCUGCCCCUGGCAGGGCUUUCCCGUAGUGCUGUCUGGAAAACCGCUCUCUGUCUCCUCUCUUUCCUCUGGCAGCAGCACAGGAAUUCUGCUACAGCCGCAGGGAUCGCUGCCCGCUGCCUCAGUCUUGCCGGCAGCACAGAAGGAUUUCCUCUUGCUUUGACUGCAGCACGGGUUGUUUCUCGGUGGGAUGCUGCUCCUGGCUGUCCCUGACGUGGUUACCGAGGGUGCUGUGGAAGCCGCAGGCACGGAGGACAGCUGGAGCCAUCGGCUGUUUUCCCCGUGGAGCACCGUGCUGUGAGGCCCCGCACAGACACAGCGUGGCACUCUUUUCCAGAGCACCGUGCCUGAUCCCGCGCCAGAGCCCAUCCCUGACCUCGCCAGCAGAGUGAGGCGGCCCCGGUGCUUUCCCAGCCCCGCUUGCCCCCGUGCAUACCCCACUCCAGCCCCCUGGACACUCCAGCCACUCUGGCCGAUGACUCUCAAGCCUGAGGCUGGUGCUCUGCUGGACACCAGAGUCAGAGACCUGCAGCUGCCUGAGCCACCCCAGGGCUCAGCCCCAGGAGUGCUCAGAGGAUGCUCAGAGCAUGAUGUGUGUGCCUGUGCAUCAUGAAUGUUUUGCGGAAAGACCAGCUAGGAAAUAGUUUACAGGGGAGUAUAAUCUUCAUUUUUAACCCUAGGAGAACUGUUUGCAUGUGACUUGGAGGUACUGUUGGUUUCACUUGGUAUUGGGGGAUAUAGUCUGCUUUUUCAUGGUGGAUGUUGCCCUAAUCUGAAUGAGGAUCCAGAUGUGACAGCUGAGGCUUCAGGAGAUGGAAAUGCAACCAAACCAAUCCAGAGGAAAGAGACACCCAGCCACCUCUCCCCCAAAAAAGCCCUGUUGGUGCCUGGGGUAAAAUAUGCAUUGUGGCCAGGAAAGAGCUUUUUCAGCCUAGAAAAACCCAAGGAACUGAAUUUGGCCUUGGCCCAAGGUGGCUGGUGGUGUUGGACAAGUCUCCUGGUACUUUUUGGUGGGUGCAACAACACUCGUAGCCCUCCAAGAGCAAUGUCCUGGGGCCAAACAGCUUCAGGCCCACCGGGACCACCCAAAAGAGAGGGACUAGCGCUGCUCUCCCCACUGCAGGAGAAUGAUGGUUGCAGCUUCAAUUUAAAUAAUUGUUACCAGGAUUUCAGCAGUGACUCAUUGGUCUUCCCUUGUUAGCAGGGAACUAUCUGGGGACACACCCUGCUCCGUGUUGCCAAGGCACUUCGACUAGAGGGACUUUCUGCACCUUCUUCUGCUCCUUCCUCUCGCCUUUUUUUUUUCCAAAAUAGCCCUGGCUUGGCAGAACAUCUCAGCUCUGUGGGCACAAACAGAGUGCAUGUGCACAGGGCUAACUGCACCCCAAACUCUACUCUGCCAUGGCAGCUGGACUCUUGAAUUUUUGCUCUUAGUUUUAACAGAGAUGGGGAAGAGAUCGUUUUGCUGGACCACUGAGCAUCUUGCGGAUCAAUCCAUACAGCUUUGUCACCAGGAUGUCAUCUGCAUCCUGAGGUCCCAGCAUGGCAGAUCAGUGUUUGGUUCACCUUGACCAGGUGGGCACCUUGAGGAAGGGCAAAUAUGGGAUGGUGAGACAGGAGGGGAAUGAACUCAUUUAAGAUGUUUUAAUUUUCAGAAUCCUUCCAGGCUUAAAGCAUGUUUUCAUUUUCAGUAUUUUCUUCUGUUUUCUUUCCAACAACUGGUUUGGAAGGCUGUUCUACCAAUGAAAUAGGAACAAAAUUGUGUUUUCCCUCACUCCUUGACAGUGGCUGUCUGCCAUCAGCAGUGGCAGUCUGGGCUAGGUUUGUUUAAUUCAUCCUUAGUCUCCAGGCAGCACAGGGAGGCUCAGGAGAUGGAGGAGGAAACCUCUUCUCCUGUAUAAGAACAUUUCCUUCCAUGUGCUGCUGGAUUUUGUUGUCCAUAACAAAGUCCCUCCUCAGCAUGGAAAACAAAACCCAAGAAGAAAAUACGAACCUCAUCUUUUGGGACCAGCGUCCUAGAAGGACCUCACUUUAAAUCCCCCCCCCCAAAAUUUGAGGAACAUGUAUUUUAAAUACGAUGUUAUAAAAACGUGGUAAAUAUUUAAUUUUAUUUUUAUUAAAUACUAAAUUGAUGAUGGCUGACACUUUAUUAAAGUGUCAAAGUGAGUGUUCCUACAUUCUAAUUACUUAUUCUAACAAGGAGGCAGCCUCGUCGGGAGCCGCGCGUGCCGGCGCGCGCAGGCGAGGGGCGCUCCUGUUAAGUAACACCUAUUAAACUAUCAUUUGCACCUAGAGGCAUCUCAUUAAUAUCUCAACUGGUGAGACUGCGCUGCCAGUGCCUACCUGACCCGGGGCGUUGACAGGAGAAAUGGCUCCGGGAGGCCUUUCCUCGCUCCAGGCUUUCCUGUACAAAUAAUUCCUAUAAAAUUAAUAACGACUAUUCCACUUAAUUGAAUUCCUGAUAAAUGAAGAUUCUUCCAGGCCCCUGUUAAAAGCAUCCAAGAUGCAGGAGAAGCACUGCACUGCAUUCUGGGGACAGUUUUGUUCUUCCCCUCUCUCCCAUUCUUGCUUCCUUUGUCUCUCCAAGCCUCUUUCCACCCUAUUCAUGUCUCCCGCUACUGCCUCCUUAUCACUCUUUCCCUUCAUUUCCUGACCAUGCCUUCUCUUUUCUGCAGCAGUUUCCUUUCUGAUCUCCCAUUUGAUUCCCUUCCACUUCUCUGGCUCUACCUGGAACUAUAUUUAUGGCUACUUAUCUUGAUGGCUAAUUUUCCUUCUGGAGCCUUCUUCUUCUUUCCUCUCUUCUCCUUCCAUCUUAAUUUCCCUUACAGCCCUCUUCCAUCUGGCUCUUCAUCUCACGAGUAAGACCUGUUUCUCGUAGGGUUCCUUCCAGGCCCUGAAAUGGUUGUCUUAGAGGAAUCUCCUGAUGUGAGAUCCCUAUUGGAUGAGGUUGUGGCAUUCAAGAGCUGUCCAGUCACCAAGAUGAUAUGUCCUCCCCCAAAGUGGAGUCUGCCAUCCUCAAAAAUUUGUGGAACAUGCAUUCAUCCCACCUUCCCCAUGGAUGGAGAGAUACCUGUGUGGAGAGCAGAUUGUCCUCAAGACAGAGUUCAUAUGGCCACGACUUGGAUGCCAAAUCAUUACAACAGAGGCGAGGCUACUCCUUCAGCACUAAAGGUGACUCACAAGCAGCACCACUCUGGGAAAGUUAAAAGUGAUAAUUCGACAAGACUAGAGGAUUGUGUGGGACUCAAAGGGAUGAAACAGCCUUGCAGGGGCUCUCCUUCCUCUGUCUCUUAGUGCUGAAUGAAAGUGGAAAGCCAGAUCAAUUCAGAGCUGCUGAAAAAUAAAAGAUGAUCACGUCUUCAUGAACACCCAGGAUUUGUCAUAAAAUAAAUUCUGCCACCUCUGUCUUCUCACUUCUGCUCUCAAGUGUCAGUGAGCGCUCUCCAGAAGCCGUUUCCAAUGUCUGUGCUGGAGUUACCCCAGUCUUGGAGGAUCAGGAAACAACCUUAGUUUCAGAAAGGCCUUCCCAAAUGUGUCAGCAUCCUGAACAACAUUUGGAAAGCAGACCCUGAGUGUAAAUCCAGGGUGAACCUCCAGCCAGGUUCUUUUGCUGUGGUGAAAUGCUGACAUGGGCAGAAUCAUCAUCAUAUGAUUGACCUAACCUGAGUCAAAAAUACUGAUGACUAAGUGAAUGAGGAAGCUGAGGAGAAAAACUGCUGACAUAUUGAUGUCCAAUCUGUCCUGGAACGUAUGAAAGCACGUGGGGAAACUGAGGCACAGAGAUCUAAUCCAAAUUCUCCAAGGUGUGAGAUGCUUGGCUCUCUUUAAAAUUAAAGGGACAGAGACAUCUGACAUUUUUGACAGUUUGUGUCUGAUUCACCUGUUCAAGGUCACACAGGACACUUGUAGAGAGGUAAUAAAGAAAACUGAAUGCAAAUUUUCUGUGGUUUAUCCCAGAAUCUGAAUCGUUUAGUUGAAAUGUGACCCAUCAUGAGGAAGAACAGAGGGCUUGGAUAAGCUGUUCUAUGUUUCAGUGAACUCCAUCUCAUAGGAAAAUAGAAACUAUUUAUGUGGAGUUAGAGUCCAAAUGCUAUUGUCUGCUGGUACAUUUCCUGGAGAAGAAGGUGAACCUACCACAUCCAUUGAUCAGCCCCAGAUGCAUGAAUUUCCAGUUACCUCCAUGGAGUGGAAAUAUGAAAUUUGCUCACCAGCUUCUGUGCAGGAGAACUAUAGGAGGAUUUGGGAGAACUAUAGGAAUACUGAUUCAUGAAUCAUCCUUGCUGCCCAGAUACAGGGAGCUUCCAGAACAUGAGCUUGUGAUGAGGCUCCCUCACCCUUGGAAAGUCCUUUUCAAGUGGUCUUGGAUCCAGGAAGGAUCAGUUCCAUGACAGGCAGUAGAGCUUCAAUGCAGAAAUGAGAUCUGGAGAAGGAGGAGAAUACAUUCAAAAACCAAUCAAACCCCAUCCCUGGUAAUGUGGGCAUCUCCUUGAAAGCACCUUUCCCCCUGCAGACACAAAGAGAUCCCAUUCCAGCACACCCUUGCAGCAAAGUUCAUGGCUGUCCCUGGAGGUGGGUAUUCAGGGAGCCAGGAAUCUGUGGUUCAUUUCCUUUUUAAGUGUGAGUGUCCUGACAGGAGACUAUAGGAACAAAUGAAAGCACUUGCUCUGUGCCCAAAAUUUGCAGUAGUUUCUCCACUGCAGGUAUCUUACCUGCCCUGAGAACUCUGAAGUUGUGAUGUCAUGUGCUAAGGUUCAUGAACACUUUUGAAGGCUCUUUUUGAAUGAACCCAGCCCAAAAGAUGUCUCUGUGUGUGAGAACCACGUGGUCUCAUUUGCCAUCCCCUUGAUUUCUAAGAUUCUGUUGGAUUUGAAGCUCGAAGUAAAACCCGUGAGAACAAAACCUUGGAGGGAUCAAAUGGAAAACAUCCUCCUGGUUCUCUGUGCUGGAGGAAAACCACUGGAUUCAUCGUUCUAGCGUGUUUUGUUUGGUUUUGUGUGUGCUUUUUUUUUUCCUAGUAUGGAGAAAUCCCUGUGUGGUUUGGGUUUGCGAGAAGGAUUUUCCCUUCAUGCGCUGCCACAACCACUGAGAUCAGCUGAGGCACUCGAGUGAACGGAUCCUGGAUGUAAUUGUCUGAGGGCUGGUGCCAGGUUUUUUCAGAAGAGGGACUGACUGGCUGCGUUUCAGUUCCACCUCUGCCUUGACAGAGCCUGUCUCCUUUAAUCAUUAGAGUUCAGUGCACGGCUCUCGCCUGGCACGAGUUGGAAUUUCAUUUGUUUUGGAGGAAGGUUGCUUCUUUUGUUAGUUUAGGUCUUUUGGUUUCAGUUGUGUAAACUGAGACAGGCCGAUCCCAUUGGCUCUGAGGAGCUGACAGCCAGGAGAAGGCUGGUCUGCUAUUCAGUUUUGGGGUUUGGUUUUAAAUCUUUAGAACGUUCUGGUUUCUGUAAUUAGGCAUGUUUUACAAACUCUGAACUGUAUAAUUGUGUGCUUUUCCAAACUCAGGGCAGUCAACACAAACUCAGCGCCAUAAACUGAGUUUCCUUGAGCAAACCGAGUUUUGAAUUUAUUCAAAUGGAAGAAAAUGUUGUGUUAUUACAGCUAUGCAAAACUCUAGUUAAUUUAUGGUAGUAUAAAAUCCAUUUUUUAAUGACUGUGACACUGCCAAAAUCUUUGCAGAUGCAGAAACAGCUUCACAGGAGGAUUUCAAUCUAACAUCAACAGGAGAUUUGGAAGAUGAAUUGUGCAAGGAUCUCCUUCCUCCAAAGAUGCUGCUUUGUUUUGCUUUUUAGCAUUUGGUUUGGCUCUAAUAUUGUCUGGUUUAUGAUGUUUUAAUUAUUGCUGUUUAUUUAUUAUAAUCAUAUUUUAAUUGUUUGUGUAGUGCCUUGAGUGCCUUGGCAGGGGGGCAUAUUAUAAAUUAAAUUAUUAUUAAAAUGUU
Long non-coding RNA from Pseudopipra pipra, 7085 nucleotides. RefSeq lists it as uncharacterized. The record is from RefSeq and is a predicted model, not a curated record. Lineage: Eukaryota; Metazoa; Chordata; Aves; Passeriformes; Pipridae. The transcript is spliced from 3 exons.